RNAcentral lists this long non-coding RNA (1342 nucleotides) under Homo sapiens (human). RNAcentral's name for it is "PREDICTED lncRNA (TCONS_00075788)". The record is from RNAcentral. Lineage: Eukaryota; Metazoa; Chordata; Mammalia; Primates; Hominidae.
GGAGGCCGGAGAGGCGUUUGCGGCCCAGCGCCUGGACUGGACCUUGGCGUUGGGCCGCAGUUGCCCGGAGUUUUUGGGGCCCCCGGGAACCCGCGCGCCGAGGCCGGCUAAGUUUGGCAGACUCUCUGAGCUCUCGGAAUUCGACUGCCUCCAUUGUUGCUCCUUCUGGCACCCACAGACCACAUCUCUUCAGUGGACCCCCUGAUAGGCCGGUUUGCUCCAGGUGAGGUGUGCUCACAGCAACUGCAACCGUGUUUCUUUCAGACCAUGGGCGUGAGCAGAACCUACUAUGCGCCCCUGCUGCCUGGGCUGUGCUGUUCAGUUUGGGGCCACCAGCCCCACAUGGCUCCUGAGCACUUAAAGUAUGGCUAGUCGGAAUCGAGAUAUAUGCAUUCUUUACCAAAUAAUGUUCAAAAAAUUGUUACAUGUUGAAGUGAUAAACUUUUUCCAUAUAUUGGGAUAAAAGUUUUAUUUGUUUAUUUUUUAGUGUGGGUUCUACAGAAUUUUAAAUGUCACCUGUGGCCUGCAUUAUAUUGCCAUUGGGCAGGCUGAUCUAGGGCUUGCAUGCCUGUGAUCCUUAGGUGCACCCUGUGAGGUAGGUGCUUUAACUGUGUGCACCCUGUGAGGUAGGUGCUUUAACUGUGUGCACAUUGUGAGGUAGGUGCUGAAACUGCUUCCUGUUUUUUUUUUUUUUUUCUUUUGAGACGGAGUCUCACUCUGUCUCCAGGCUGGAGUGCAGUGGUGCGACCUGGGCUUACUGCAAUCUCCGCCUCCCAGGUUCAAGUGAUUCUCCUGCCUCAGCCUCCCGAGUAGCUGGGAUUACAGGGGCACGCCACCACACCCAGCUAAUUUUUGUAUUUUUAGAAGAGACGGGGUUUCACCAUGUUGGCCAUGAUGGUCUCGAUUUCUGACCUUGUCAUCCGUCCGCCUUGGCCUCCCAAAGUGCUGGGAUUACGGGCGUGAGCCACCGUACCCAGCCUGCUUCCUGUUUUAACAGACGAAGAAAUGGAAUAACUUCCAACAACACAGGUUGGAGCUGAAGGAGUGCCCAGGCUGCGGAUGGAGGAAGGACGUGCUCGGGAGAAGGUGAAGAUGGGAGAGAAGCAAGAUCUUCUGUGUUUGGACCAAGGACACAUUUCCUUACUCCAUAGCAGCUGUGCAUGGAAUAUGGAUGUGUGGUCUGGAUGUACAGACACCAUUUUGGACCAUAAAGACAAGGACGAUUGUCUAAGGAUGACACAGCCAGAGCACUGAGAGUGGCGAGAAGGACAGGGGAGCUGCUGUGCCAAGCAGGACUGUCUCUCUUAAGAGAAAAAUAAAAUUUAUUGGUGUUUAAACCAUU